Molecule: non-coding RNA, 260 nt
Organism: Pelobates cultripes (western spadefoot toad)
Lineage: Eukaryota; Metazoa; Chordata; Amphibia; Anura; Pelobatidae
Source: the annotation of a GenBank genome assembly
CUCUCCUGAUGCAAUCUAUUGUGCAAUCCGAUACAUUCCCUAACAAGGUACUAACAAUUUUUUAAAUGCAAAUGGGUAUAGUCUAUUAAAUAACUUACAAAUAACACAUUGACAAUAUAAAAAAAAUGUAUGUAUAUAGUUACAGUAAGUAGCUUUUGGGGCUUGGAGUGGCUCUUAAGAUAGGCACCUAUUUUUUUGUUUUGUUUUUAACCACAGAAAAUGCAUUACACUCAUCGCGAACACAAAAGGCGAAAUGUUGC